UACGAAGGGGGCUAGCGUUGCUCGGAAUGACUGGGCGUAAAGAGCGCGCAGGCGGUCGAUCAAGUCGAGUGUGAAAGCCCCCGGCUCAACUGGGGAGGGUCAUUCGAUACUGAUCGACUCGAAGGCAGGAGAGGGUAGUGGAAUUCCCGGUGUAGUGGUGAAAUGCGUAGAUAUCGGGAGGAACACCAGUGGCGAAGGCGACUACCUGGCCUGUUCUUGACGCUGAGGCGCGAAAGCUAGGGGAGCAAACGGG
This 253-nucleotide ribosomal RNA is filed under the name uncultured bacterium. RNAcentral describes it as "partial 16S ribosomal RNA". It matches the Rfam family "Bacterial small subunit ribosomal RNA", at positions 524 to 776 of the family's 1533-position model. The record is from RNAcentral.